RNAcentral lists this ribosomal RNA (468 nucleotides) under uncultured bacterium. RNAcentral's name for it is "partial 16S ribosomal RNA". It matches the Rfam family "Bacterial small subunit ribosomal RNA", at positions 28 to 507 of the family's 1533-position model. The record is from RNAcentral.
GACGAACGCUGGCGGCGUGCUUAACACAUGCAAGUCGAACGGAAAGGCCCCGCUUUUGUUGGGUGCUCGAGUGGCGAACGCGUGAGAAACACGUAAGUAACCUGUCUUUGGCUUAGAGACAACUUAAAGAAACUGGGGCUAAUACUGGAUAGUAGCUCGUGCUGGAUGGUGGGGGUUGGCAAGUUUGGGCGGUGGGGGAUGGGCUCGCGGCUUACCAGCUGGUUGGUGGAGUAGUGGCUUACCAAGGCUUCGACGGGUAGCCGGCCUGAGAGGGUGACCGGCAACAUUGGGAGAGAGCUACGGCCCAGAGUCCUGCGGGAGACUGCAGUAGGGAAGAUAGCACGAUGGAGCGAAGCCUGAUGCAGCAAGGCCGCGUGCGGGAUGAUAGCCUUCGGUUGGUUAACCGCAAUCGCCUGUGACGGAGCGUAGGUGACGGUAAUGGGUAAAGAAGCACCGGCUAACUACGUG